GCUAAGGACUCACUUUCGAGCUCUCUACAACUGGUGUUGUCAGUAGGCCUCUUCUUCCAAAAGGGUCUCAACAUGAUGCCUGCUGUUUCUCAUUUUGUCAAAAAAAGACUACUUUAUAUUCAUCAGCCACGUCUCUCUGGUGACUUUAUUCAUGCAACAACAAAGCGAAAUGCGUUGUUUUCUGAAUGAAGAGCAUGCUGAGCAC
Mobula hypostoma (lesser devil ray) is the source of this 205-nucleotide long non-coding RNA. RefSeq lists it as uncharacterized. The record is from RefSeq and is a predicted model, not a curated record. The transcript is spliced from 3 exons. NCBI's taxonomy places the organism in Eukaryota, Metazoa, Chordata, Chondrichthyes, Myliobatiformes, Myliobatidae.